UCGCCUGUUUACCAAAAACAUCACCUCUAGCAUAACAAGUAUUAGAGGCAUUGCCUGCCCAGUGACUAAAGUUAAACGGCCGCGGUAUCCUGACCGUGCAAAGGUAGCAUAAUCACUUGUUCCUUAAUUAGGGACUAGAAUGAAUGGCUAAACGAGGGUUCAACUGUCUCUUACUUUCAAUCAGUGAAAUUGACCUUCCAGUGAAGAGGCUGGAAUACUACAAUAAGACGAGAAGACCCUAUGGAGCUUUAAUUUACUAGUUUAAUUUAUAUGACAACAACCUAAUGGACCAAGACAAAAUAAAUAUAAACUAAAAAAUUUCGGUUGGGGUGACCUCGGAGAAUAGAAAAUCCUCCGAAUGAUUUUAACCUAGACCCACAAGUCAAAGUAAUAUUAAUAUCUUAUUGACCCAAUUAUUGAUCAACGGACCAAGUUACCCUAGGGAUAACAGCGCAAUCCUAUUUAAGAGUCCAUAUCGACAAUUAGGGUUUACGACCUCGAUGUUGGAUCAGGACAUCCCAAUGGUGCAGAAGCUAUUAAUGGUUCGUUUGUUCAACGAU
Molecule: ribosomal RNA, 560 nt
Filed under: Rattus tanezumi (Oriental house rat)
Lineage: Eukaryota; Metazoa; Chordata; Mammalia; Rodentia; Muridae
Description: partial large subunit ribosomal RNA
Rfam family: Bacterial large subunit ribosomal RNA
Source: RNAcentral